AGAGUUUGAUCAUGGCUCAGGAUUAACGCUGGCGGCGUGCCUAACACAUGCAAGUCGAACGAAAUAUCUUCGGAUAUUUAGUGGCGAACGGGUGAGUAAUGUACAGGUAAUGUACCUUCGUACUGCGAAUAACAAGCUGAAAAGUUUGCUAAUACGGAAUAGUUUCAUUAGGGGGCAUCCUUUGAUGAAUAAAGAUUUAUCGUGCGGAGAUCAGCCUGUAUCCUAUUAGUUAGUUGGUGGGGUAAUGGCCUACCAAGACGACGAUGGGUAACUGGUCUGAGAGGAUGAGCAGUCACAUUGGAACUGAGAUACGGUCCAAACUCCUACGGGAGGCAGCAGUGAGGAAUUUUGCGCAAUGGGGGAAACCCUGACGCCAGCAACGCCGCGUGAGUGAAGACGGCCUUCGGGUUGUAAAGCUCUGUCGUGUGUGACGAGUAGGGACGGUAACACACAAGGAAGCCUCGGCUAACUACGUGCCAGCCGCCGC
RNAcentral lists this ribosomal RNA (487 nucleotides) under uncultured bacterium. Its description in RNAcentral is "bacterial SSU rRNA". It matches the Rfam family "Bacterial small subunit ribosomal RNA", at positions 8 to 518 of the family's 1533-position model. The record is from RNAcentral.